AUGGGUGUCGCUCCACACCUGGUCCUCCUCCCCCCACACCUGGUCCUCCUCCCCCCACACCUGGUCCUCCUCCCCCCACACCUGGUCCUCCUCCCUCCACACCUGGUCCUCCUCCCUCCACACCUGGUACUCCUCCCUCCACACCUGGUCCUCCUCCCACACCUGGUCCUCCUCCCUCCACACCUGGUCCUCCUCCCCCACACCUGGUCCUCCUCCCUCCACACCUGGUCCUCCUCCCCCACACCUGGUGCUCCUCCCUCCACACCUGGUCCUCCUCCCUCCACACCUGGUCCUCCUCCCCCACACCUGGUCCUCCUCCCUCCACACCUGGUCCUCCUCCCUCCACACCUGGUCCUCCCUCCACACCUGCUCCUCCUCCCCCCACACCUGCUCCUCCUCCCUCCACACCUGGUCCUCCUCCCCCCACACCUGGUCCUCCUCCCCCACACCUGGUGCUCCUCCCUCCACACCUGGUCCUCCUCCUCCACACCUGGUCCUCCUCCCCCACACCUGGUCCUCCCUCCACACCUGGUCCUCCUCCCCCACACCUGCUCCUCCUCCCCCACACCUGCUCCUCCUCCCCCCACACCUGGUCCUCCUCCCCCCACACCUGGUCCUCCUCCCCAUCCAGUCCUCCUCCCCCCACACCUGGUCCCCCUCCCCCACACCUGGUCCUCCUCCCCCCACACCUGGUACUCCUCCCCAUCCAGUCUUCCUCCCCCCACACCUGGUCCUCCUCCCCAUCCAGUCCUCCUCCCCCCACACCUGGUCUUCCUCCCCCCACACCUGGUCCUCCUCCCCCCACACCUGGUCCUCCUCCCCAUCCAGUCCUCCUCCCUCCACACCUGGUCCUCCUCCCCCCACACCGGUUCCUCCUCCCUCCACACCUGGUCCUCCUCCCCACACCUGCUCCUCCUCCCCCACACCUGCUCCUCCUCCCCCCACACCUGGUCCUCCUCCCCCCACACCUGGUCAUCCUCCCUCGUCACCUGGUCCUCCUCCCCCCACACCUGGUCCUCCUCCCCAUCCAGUCCUCCUCCCCCCACACCUGGUCUUCCUCCCCCCACACCUGGUCCUCCUCCCCCCACACCUGGUCCUCCUCCCCAUCCAGUCCUCCUCCCCCCACACCUGGUCCUCCUCCCUCCACACCUGGUCCUCCUCCCCCCACACCUGGUCAUCCUCCCUCCACACCUGGUCCUCCUCCCUCCACACCUGGUCCUCCUCCCCCCACACCUGGUCCUCCUCCCCAUCCAGUCCUCCUCC
RNAcentral lists this long non-coding RNA (1263 nucleotides) under Takifugu rubripes (torafugu). Its description in RNAcentral is "lncRNA (ENSTRUG00000032768.1)". The record is from RNAcentral. Lineage: Eukaryota; Metazoa; Chordata; Actinopteri; Tetraodontiformes; Tetraodontidae.